RNAcentral lists this unclassified non-coding RNA (418 nucleotides) under fungal sp. Its description in RNAcentral is "partial internal transcribed spacer region". The stretch from base 1 to 46 matches the Rfam family "Eukaryotic small subunit ribosomal RNA", at positions 1786 to 1831 of the family's 1831-position model. The record is from RNAcentral. Lineage: Eukaryota; Fungi.
AAGUCGUAACAAGGUUUCCGUAGGUGAACCUGCGGAAGGAUCAUUAACACGUAUCCACGUAUCUACCUCUUGCGAACUUGUUUUUGUUUAUAGUUAUGCUGGAUAUGGAUAGUAGGAAGCAGAUGGCCAUGUCAGAAUCGACCUUCUGUUCUGCUUGCCUUCCACCCAAUGCUGAGUGCUAGUGUAUUGAGAUCUGGAGUUUAUCGUCCUGAACAUCCAGUCCUGCUAGCCUGAACACUCCUUGGGAUGGGUAUCCAGUGUAACUCGAAUCAUGGUGGUUUCUAACCAUUCACCCCUUUUUUUUAAUUAUUUGUCUUAGUGAGUGUUUUCUUUUUUGUUUUCGUCGUCUCGAAGCAGAAAAAAACCUCCCCCAAAAAAUAACAAAAAUACAACUCUUAGCAACGGAUAUCUCGGUUCU